GCGGGAGUAGCUCAGUCGGUAGAGCGACAGCCUUCCAAGCUGUAUGUCGCGGGUUCGAAUCCCGUCUCCCGCUCCA
RNAcentral lists this transfer RNA (76 nucleotides) under Trueperaceae bacterium. RNAcentral's name for it is "tRNA-Gly". It matches the Rfam family "tRNA". Rfam says of the family: Transfer RNA (tRNA) molecules are approximately 80 nucleotides in length. Their secondary structure includes four short double-helical elements and three loops (D, anti-codon, and T loops). The record is from RNAcentral. Lineage: Bacteria; Thermotogati; Deinococcota; Deinococci; Trueperales; Trueperaceae. RNAcentral also lists the same sequence under 1 other name.